RNAcentral lists this ribosomal RNA (441 nucleotides) under uncultured bacterium. Its description in RNAcentral is "partial 16S ribosomal RNA". It matches the Rfam family "Bacterial small subunit ribosomal RNA", at positions 338 to 795 of the family's 1533-position model. The record is from RNAcentral.
CCUACGGGAGGCAGCAGUGGGGGAUAUUGCACAAUGGGGGGAACCCUGAUGCAGCGACGCCGCGUGGGUGAAGGAGCGUUUCGGCGCGUAAAGCCCUAUCGGCAGGGAAGAAGGAGGACGGUACCUGACUAAGAAGCCCCGGCUAACUACGUGCCAGCAGCCGCGGUAAUACGUAGGGGGCAAGCGUUAUCCGGAUUUACUGGGUGUAAAGGGGGCGCAGACGGCAGCGCAAGCCAGGAGUGAAAGCCCGGGGCCCAACCCCGGGACUGCUCUUGGAACUGCGCGGCUGGAGUGCAGGAGGGGCAGGCGGAAUGCCUGGUGUAGCGGUGAAAUGCGUAGAUAUCACGCAGAACCCCGGUGGCGAAGGCAGCCUGCUGGACUGCGACUGACGUUGAGGCACGAAAGCGUGGGGAGCGAACAGGAUUAGAUACCCUAGUAGUC